RNAcentral lists this ribosomal RNA (265 nucleotides) under uncultured bacterium. RNAcentral's name for it is "partial 16S ribosomal RNA". It matches the Rfam family "Bacterial small subunit ribosomal RNA", at positions 88 to 354 of the family's 1533-position model. The record is from RNAcentral.
CCGGCGACCGGCGGACGGGUGCGUAACGCGUAUGUAACCUACCUUUGACAGGGGGAUAACAUCGAGAAAUUGGUACUAAUACCCCAUAACAUCACCGGAGGCAUCUUCGGUGGUUGAAAACUCAGGUGGUCAGAGAUGGACAUGCGUUGUAUUAGCUAGUUGGUGAGGUAACGGCUCGCCAAGGCGACGAUACAUAGGGGGACUGAGAGGUCAACCCCCCACAUUGGUACUGAGACACGGACCAAACUCCUACGGAAGGCAGCAG